GACUCACUCAAGCAUGGGUGCUGGCAAAGCAGGAACAACAGAAGGCCAAGAGGACAGAGGAUUCCAGGGUGAAUGUGAAUGCCCAACUGAAAUUUUCAGUAUUUGAUACUACGUUUGGAUUCCAUCCUAUCCUCAUAUUUCCAAAGAGAGAAAACCAACACUUUCAGCUAAAAUUUCUAAGAGAUGGCUCAACAGAAUUGUCCAGGCAGAGGUCCAGGAGGUCCAGGCAGGCAGAGGUCAAGAGAGAUUGCCUUCGCUGGAGAUGGGACGAUCAGAACCAUCAACUAAACUUAAACAACAAUGGCCUGAAGUU
Long non-coding RNA from Lemur catta (Ring-tailed lemur), 313 nucleotides. RefSeq lists it as uncharacterized. The record is from RefSeq and is a predicted model, not a curated record. Lineage: Eukaryota; Metazoa; Chordata; Mammalia; Primates; Lemuridae. The transcript is spliced from 3 exons.